Molecule: long non-coding RNA, 456 nt
Organism: Papaver somniferum (opium poppy)
Lineage: Eukaryota; Viridiplantae; Streptophyta; Magnoliopsida; Ranunculales; Papaveraceae
Exons: 3
Source: RefSeq, a predicted model, not a curated record
CGGGGGAUACAUCGUGUUUUGAAAUUAAAGAAGACGACUCUUUUUUCUCCAGGCUAGAGGACGCUGAUUAUGCCGUUUGGAGCGGGAGUUCUUGAACUUCUUUGUGAUAGAGAUAAGUUAUUGGUGUAUGAAUCAUUUGGUCGUAGUUAAUGAAGAUUGUUGGACAUGGAUACGAUGCAGAGAUGAUUACCUCUUGAUUAUUAUAUUUAUAAAUGGUGGAUGUCACUAGGGUAAGUUUCAUUAGCUUCACAAUUGAACUUGAAACCUUAUUUUUAGCAUAGUUCACCCUUGUAAUGAUGCAGAUAAUAUUCGGUUCGAUGAUAUGUCACACGUCGCACUCGUUAGGUAUUUUUGAUUUCAUAUGUUAUAUAUUUAGGGACUCAUAAGCUCAAAAUUAUUUUAUUCAAUAUGGGUAGUGAUAUUGUUACUUAGGUACACGAUUCAAGUUGUAUGUGU